This is a long non-coding RNA of Anopheles merus, 827 nucleotides long. RefSeq lists it as uncharacterized. The transcript has 2 exons. NCBI's taxonomy places the organism in Eukaryota, Metazoa, Arthropoda, Insecta, Diptera, Culicidae. The record is from RefSeq and is a predicted model, not a curated record.
GCAUAGCUUGUUUCUGUUCCGACAUUUUGAAGCUGCGUUUGACACUUCGAUUAGAAAGUGUUUACAAACAACUCACGCAGCAAUCUGCAGAAACGAGUAGAACAUAAUGAGUACCUUUACUGCAAAAGAACAAGGAAACAAGAGAUAUGUAGCAUAAUUUUAAACUACGUUCAAUACGGAAACAAUAUUUGUCAACAACGUUCUUUCAUACAGGUGCUGAAAACAUCUUUAUACAGCAUUCUUCGCACAGGAAUUUGCGUCUCACAACUUGCCUUCCAGUGAGUUUGGUGAAGGUUUUCGGUAUAUAUGCGGAGAAAUAAGAAAUGCUUGCAAUGUUUAAUGAGGUGAUAUUCUUUUCAAUGAAGCAUGUUCAAACCAGCUUUUUUGUUGUACAAUCCAACGAUCCGGCUGCUGUUCUUAUCAAAUAAUGCUUCAAUUAUCGCAGCGUUUGUUUUACGGCAGCUGAACAACACUUUUAAACUAGCUUAUAGAUUGCAAUGACCAACUCGCAGUGUAUAACUGGAACCAACCACAGAACCUUUCUCGCAUAAAGAUCGUCGUCUAAACAUGCUCAACAAUGGGAUACGGUGAUAGUCUAUGAAGCGCGGUGUGCAAACAACACACAACUCCCAGCCAACCGCUAGCGAUAUUGUUUUCAUUGUGUUUCCUGAAUGUUUGUGAUGAUGAUCACUCAAUGCUUAAUUCCACAACGUGCACAACGUGUCCUGAAGAUGCAGCUUGUCGGCUUGAGGAAGGAAUAUAUUUGGGGCCCGCGAAUAUAUUUGUAUCGUCAGCAUAAAGAAAGUGGUUUCCUGUAGUAAACACCC